GACGAACGCUGGCGGCGUGCCUAAUACAUGCAAGUAGAACGCUGAAGGAGGAGCUUGCUUCUCUGGAUGAGUUGCGAACGGGUGAGUAACGCGUAGGUAACCUGCCUGGUAGCGGGGGAUAACUAUUGGAAACGAUAGCUAAUACCGCAUAAUAGUAGAUGUUGCAUGACAUUUGCUUAAAAGGUGCAAUUGCAUCACUACCAGAUGGACCUGCGUUGUAUUAGCUAGUUGGUGGGGUAACGGCUCACCAAGGCGACGAUACAUAGCCGACCUGAGAGGGUGAUCGGCCACACUGGGACUGAGACACGGCCCAGACUCCUACAGGAGGCAGCAGUAGGGAAUCGUCGGCAAUGGACGGAAGUCUGACCGAGCAACGCCGCGUGAGUGAAGAAGGUUUUCGGAUCGUAAAGCUCUGUUGUAAGAGAAGAACGAGUGUGAGAGUGGAAAGUUCACACUGUGACGGUAUCUUACCAGAAAGGGACGGCUAACUACGUG
Molecule: ribosomal RNA, 495 nt
Filed under: uncultured bacterium
Lineage: Bacteria
Description: partial 16S ribosomal RNA
Rfam family: Bacterial small subunit ribosomal RNA
Source: RNAcentral